Molecule: long non-coding RNA, 639 nt
Organism: Pan troglodytes (chimpanzee)
Lineage: Eukaryota; Metazoa; Chordata; Mammalia; Primates; Hominidae
Exons: 3
Source: RefSeq, a predicted model, not a curated record
AUGAUGAUGAAACACUGUUGAAUCUAAAAGGUGGGUGGGGCUGAAGAAGGGGUGAGAGGAGGCCUUAGAAGCUAAUUAGAAUCCUCCAGAAGUGUGUGGAAAUGGGAACCUGAGCCAGGAGAGUCCUGUGGAUUCACUAGAUUCUGGGACUGUACCUUAUCUAUGCUGUGCAAAGGAAUAAGAAACUAGUGCUGUCUCGGGAACCAGCAACACAGAUGUUCCCAGGAGCAAUGUUUGCAGGCUUUUCUUCCACUUCCUGCUCCUCCACCAGACCCUGCUUGAUUCUGCAAGACUGAUGUUUGGUUAAUCUACUGAAGGGUUCUAUGAGGCUGAAAAUAUUGGAUCAGUAUUCCUGAGGAAUCUGCGUUUCAGAAUCCCAGGUCCUGAAGGACAAGAAGUACUUUGCAAACAAAUCAAAUGUACGUUUAGGAAGAUGAAAUCAUGCAACAGAAAGAUUUUUCAGAAUUUUUCAGCAACAGAUUUUACACACAAUUCAGAAGGAAGAAAGAACAGAUGAGUUUGGGAAUCAGGAGACCAGAUGUCAAGACUGGACUACAUCUUUAUAUUCAUUUCCAGAUUUAAAGUUCUAUGUUGUAUUUUAUUUGAUGCAAAGCAAUAAAAUAUUCCUCCCUCCUGUGA